RNAcentral lists this long non-coding RNA (770 nucleotides) under Citrus sinensis (sweet orange). RNAcentral's name for it is "long non-coding RNA (CSIN_LNC003548)". The record is from RNAcentral. Lineage: Eukaryota; Viridiplantae; Streptophyta; Magnoliopsida; Sapindales; Rutaceae.
UGACAUUAUUGGUCGUCUAGUUUUGAACAAGUCUAUACGUAAUUAAGAUACUGGCCACCAUUCAUAUUAAAAUAUAUAUGGGCGGGGUAAUCUUAUAUAAAAGGCCAUGCAUUUUCCUUUUACACUGCGAUGGUAGAAACAAAAGCUAAUAUGGGUUUCAAUUCAUAUUUGCUCACUUUCAUCUUGAUCAGUAGCCUGCUACUUCCACAUUCAACUUGCAUGGCCGUGGCUACUGAAGCUGGUUCUGUGUCUUACAAGUUGAAAGUAGUGUCGAAGAGAACAUUUAGAACUUUGCCGCCAUCUCCGAAGACAAACCCUCCAAGUCGCUGGGUACCCGUUCUUCCUCCGCCAGGGUUAUAGCCGCUGUCAUCGCCAAUUGUUCCUCUAUAAUCAGUGCUAUCCUUCUCUUCGAUAUCAUCUUGGCUUGUUAUUUUGUAUCCUUUUAAUACUUUUGAUGUAAUAAAGUUUUGAGAUUGAGACAUUUACAACACCUCCCAUCCCCACAACAGCUUUUAGGCUUUACCACUUACGCCAUUCAGUUUUCAAAAUGCCACGUUGCGACUUUGAUGUCAAUUCUUAUUUUAAAUAUGUUUGUUUUAUGGUUGGGAUGAGUUUUUCGGUGAAAUGUUUUGAUAUAUAAAAGGUAAUAUAGUAUUAUGAAGAUUGCCGAGUAUUAGUAGUAAAACCUAAACGCUACUAAGGGGAAAGAUGUAAUUCUCCCUUGUAUUGUAAUGUACACACUCUUGAUCUUCUUGAAUAAUUGAUGGAGC